AUUGAACGCUGGCGGCAGGCUUAACACAUGCAAGUCGAGCGGGGUGAUGGUGCUUGCACUAUCACUUAGCGGCGGACGGGUGAGUAAUGCUUAGGAAUCUGCCUAUUAGUGGGGGACAACAUCUCGAAAGGGAUGCUAAUACCGCAUACGUCCCACGGGAGAAAGCAGGGGAUCACUUGUGACCUUGCGCUAAUAGAUGAGCCUAAGUCGGAUUAGCUAGUUGGUGGGGUAAAGGCCUACCAAGGCGACGAUCUGUAGCGGGUCUGGGAGUAUGAUCAGCCACACUGGGACUGAGACACGGCCCACACUGCUGCGAGAGGCAGCAGUGUGGAAUAUUGGACAGUGGGGUGAACCCUGAUCCAGCCAUGCCGCGUGUGUGUAGAAUGCCUUAUGGUUGUAAAGCACUUUAAGCGAGGAGGAGGCUCUUUUGGUUAAUACCCUAGAUGAGUGGACGUUACUCGCAGAAUAAGCACCGGCUAACUCUGGGCCAGCCGCCGCCGCUG
Molecule: ribosomal RNA, 503 nt
Filed under: uncultured bacterium
Lineage: Bacteria
Description: partial 16S ribosomal RNA
Rfam family: Bacterial small subunit ribosomal RNA
Source: RNAcentral